AUACCAGAAGACCAGGGGUCAGAUCACAUGGUAAGAGCCUUGUAGACUAGAUGAUAAAGGAGUAAAAUCUUAUCCCACAGCACUGGGAAGACUUUAGAGAGGUUUUUGCCUGCGUGUAGUGCUAUUUGAUUUUGAGUGAAUGAGAGAUGAGGAAGUGGAGACUAUAAAUAUCGUUAACUUCCUCAAGAUAUUGUGCCGAGCAGAGUAGUUAACUAAUACUUAUUUACUGCUUGUCACGAACCGGUCAAUAUUUUAACUAUUUUUUUACCAUCAGUAAUGUAAUACUACUUACUCCUACAAUGGAACAGGAACUGUCAUUAGUCUUAUGUUGCUUACAUGUAAGGACACUGAGGCACAGAGAAGGACCUAGAGUAAAAGUGGAGUUUUUUGUUUUCACUUGCUUGUUUUUCUUUUGAUAGGACAGAGGUGGAGCUUCUAUUUUAAUAAGAAAGAAAAUAGAGAAUAUGGCUUAAAUUCAGGUGGGUUUAUUGUUUGAUAGAAGUUAGGAGUCUUUCCCAUUAUGGCAUCAAUUUUCUCAAUGUUCAUCAGCUGAGGAAGAAAGGACCAGGGAGACACAAGGGUGAGAAAUGACUGGUCAGUAGAAAUAGGAGUGUACUGAGAAAUGUUUAACAACUUGUUUUCCUCUAAAAGCUUACUUAUCCUUUACAGUUAGAUCUAUAAUCUGUCUGUGGUUAACAUUUUAGUAUGAUAUAAAGUAGGGAUCCAUUUUCAGAUGGAAAUCCAGUUUAUACAACACUAUUAAAAUUACUAUUAUUUCUCUAGUAAAUCACAGUGUCACCUUUGCCAGUUAGUUAAGUUUAUACGUCUGGAUCUCUUUAUGGAUCUUUGACUCUUCUCUGUUGGUCAGUUGAAAAUCUUUAUAUUUUGCCUGAAGUUUUCCAUAUCUGCAAUGAAGGCUCAAAUAAGACCUCUUGGGUUUGCUUUUAUACCUUCCAGGAGACUUACUGAGGUCAAGUCUAAAUAUCUACAUAUGAAAUACAAGGUCCCCACUAUUACUUGUUCCAAAUAUGGUGUGAAGUAAAUUAACUAGUAUGAGGCACUGCUUAGAUUCUCCCUACAGGACAGAAAGUUUUAGUUCUCUAGUUACUGGGAAGACUGUCAAUAUUCAGCCCUUAGCUGUUAGUUCUCUUUGGGAUUGCUGAAAAACAGCUACCUUGCCCAAACUUGUGUCUCCUUCCUGGGGCUGCCCAUGUCAAAUGACUCCUCUUACUGACUGGUGAUCUCAGGGAAUGAGAAGCUGAAGGGAUCAGGAGGUAGAGGCUUUAUGGAGAUCAAUGCUACUUGACCUGAGUCUGCUGGUGGAGAUGUUCCUUCUUUGGGAGCUGAGACCUCAAACUCUGAAGAGCCCUGAGUUGUAGCAAUAAGAAGCUUCUCCAAGAACUUGGGGAAACUCCCCAAGGAGUGAUGACUUCCUGUUCAGCAAGCCCCAAGCCUCGUGACAGGACUUCUGCUCUGUUUACCAAUAGUGUGAGUCAGGGCUUGUGGUUGUGGCACAGUCAGCCCCACAGCAGCUUUAUCUCCUCUGACUUGAGGGAAGCCACCAAUGGACUGGAAGGGGAAUCUGGAAGAUCCAUUGGUCCUGAGACUUCAACUCUGCAUGCUGUGAUUGCUUUGGCUCUGACCUCGAGGAAUGAAUGUUUUCUGACUUCUGCGUAAAGGCUAGAAGACAAAGAAGAGGUGAGAGAAGCAGAUAUGGAAUGGUGAAACUCCUGCACUCCUCCAAGUGAUCUUUUUACCUGGAAAGGGAGAGAAUGUGUGUUCUGUCAGCAGCUAAGAGCACAGAUCUGGUUACUGAUCAAGACUGAAGCGAGGCUGAGAAAAUGCAGAACUGAGGUAAAAAGUUCCAGGAAACACUGUGAGUCCUGUCACGAUGUUUUGUGGUAUUUCAUAUGCUUAGAAAAAGGUGAACCUGAGGUGAAUAUGAAAAAGGUAAAGGCUUAGUUUAAUCUGAGAAACAGAAAACUAAAGCAAAAUAUGAAUUUUUGUUUUUAGGGUAAUAUAAAUGACUUUUUGCUUUUGUUGAAAAGAAGAACCAUUAGUUAAUUGGAAUUUGGGGCACACUUUGGGUAAAACCUAAAUCCUUUGUCAUGAUCCUUAAUGCUUCACUGACCACAUCACCUGUCAUGCUCUCCUCACUCAAGGUGAUCUGGUCACACUGGCUUUCAUUUAUUUCCUUGUACACUUGCUGUGACCUUAAGACCUUUUAUAUUUGCCUUUCCCUCUGCCUGAAAUGCCUUUCAUAUUGCUUUCACUUGGUGGGCUUAUGCUCCUCAUUUAGAUCCCAGUUCAAAUGUCUCCUUACAAAGCCUUUGCUGGAUCACCCUAAUCAGCCUGCGGUUCCCUCUUGCCUGCCAUCUGUGGACCCUUCCAAGUUUCUCCUCUCCUUUGAGACACACAGAAAGAUGAUAUUUUCCUGAUGUUCUUGAAGUCAAGCAGGCCUCUGGAACAAGCUCUGGGCGAUAGGACAUAUGUAAAAACGAUGUGAUGGUGGAGUCUCAUCUGCCUUGGUGUGAACCAGGUGUUAGCACCACAAGAAUCAGAGUCCCCUGGUGUAGGGUAUGAAGAAAAAACUAACUUUGUUGCUUUGUGACACUGAGAUUUCGGGAGUUGUUUGUUAUUGCAACAAAACUGUCCUCAUUCUGUCUAAAACACCAUUCUUCUGUUUUCUUCAGAGCACCUGUCCCUCUUUGCAAUGAUCUCAUUUAUUUGUUGUUAAUCUCUCACCCACUUCCAAAUGUUGCUAGGUGUGUUAGUUAUACACAAUACACUGAAGGAUUAACCUUCCACAUGGUCCAUGGAUCCCAUCAAACUCAAACAACCUUAAACAGGUCUUUCAUCCCUUAGGCUACCUGCCAACUGAUCUGGCAUGAAUGGCCCUUGAUGAACUAGGCUAGAUGCCCACUACCUCAAUGCUCUCCCUACCCCAACCCAUUUCUCCUGGCAGGGGGAAGCUCUUAAUUUGUUUCAGAAAGACUGAGCAGAACCUGGUAGAACAGAUGUUGUUUUCUGUCCCUAAAGAGCAUCUCCUCCAAACAUGGACCCUAGGAAAGAAGAGGCUGUGUGUUUCCAGAGCCUGCAUAGAUUCUGCUCUCUCCAGGUCCCCACCCAAUUCAGCUAGAUAGAACCCAUAUUCCCAUAGGCCACACACCAGCCCCACCUUGGCUACGUCUGUUCAUUGUACAAAACUUUAAAGGAAUGUCUCUAUUUAGAAAAUGAAAGGAUUGCACUGCAUCAGUAGUUUCUGAACUGUGAUCCCUGAGGUGCAAGAGGAAUGGGAAAGAGACUUCUAUGAGUUGACCUUUGUCUGCUCUCUCCUCCUUGGCUUCCUCUUCAGCUAAAGCAUCUCUCUUUCUCUUAUUAAAAAAAUCUGUUUUAUAUAUUGAGUAUUUUAUAUAGCUGUUCAUCUGAAUAUGGGUUUGUUGCUUUUAAACAAGUGCCAAAAAGUUGGAGUAGAUAUUUUUGAAAGCCCUUUCUGUUUCCAGUGUUCUAAAAAUCUAGGAGCUUAGUAUGCUCAAGGUACUGUGCUGGGCAUGGGGUACAUGAAAAUGAAGGAGACAUCACCUCUGACCUCCUUAUUUAGCAGAAGAAAGAGAUGCUUUCAUGAAUAAUAUCAGAAAUGAAUUAAGGUGGUAGAAGGAGGGAUGAGAGGAGUGUGCCAAGUGUGGCAUGUCUGUGAGGAUCACGACCAAGUACAAAAGUCCUGCUAUUUGGGGCCUUUUUUACUCCCCGCCAGGCAGUAUAGUUAAUGAAGCAGAACCUUCUCCAAGUCUUGACACAAGCACUUUUAUUGCUUCUAAAUUGACUUUGAUACCCCAGCUCCCCAGUACUCAGUUUCUUGCUUUGUUUUCUAAUUUUUCCCUGAGACUUUUUGUGACAUAUUCCAUGUCUUUAGCAAUUUUAUGUCUUAUUAAAAAUGUGGAUGACACAUGGCUUGGCAGUUUCAAUUAGAAGUCAAACAUUGUUUAUAAAAACAUAAAAUUCACUCCAAUGUUAAGAGCUUCAGAGAUGAGAAAUAUUCAUUGCUAAGAAAUAUCAAAUUAGUAGAUUUGUGGCCCUGGCCACCUUGCUACCUCUGAUGACUCAGAUACAAAAGUGUUACUAUGUCUCAUUGCAGCAGAGUCCUCUGAUUCUCUGGGGUUCCAGUGCAGGCUCUGCCACUGUCUUUGGAUUUGGGUUUGUCUUUUUUUUUUUUUUUAAUUUUUAUUGGCAUAUAGAUGAUAUACAGUUUUGAGUUAGUUUCAGGUAUACAGCGAACUAUUAUAUAUAUAAUAUUAUUUUUUAGAUUAUUUUCCCAUGCGGGUUAUUACAAUAUAUUGAAUAUAGUUCCCUGUGGUGUACAGUAGGUCCUUGUUGGUUAUCCAUUUCAUGUAUAGUAGUAUGUAUAGUUUAAUCCUAACUCCGAAUUUAUCCCUUUGUCUCACUUCCCUUGCCUUCAGUUUCUUCUGUGUACAAAGAACAUAUCAAAUCUUAUUAACUUACUACAUGUUAAUCUGUUUCUUUUUUUGGUCAUGCAUUCAUUUAUUUAAAAUUCUAAUUUUUAAAAUAGGCAUAUAUUCAAAUGCCUUAAAAUCCAAAUGCUACAAACGUACCUGCAGUAAAGCUUCUCACGCUCAUUCCUAUUUUCCAUUUGCCCAAUUCCCACCCUUCCCUUUAUCCAUAGGUAAUUAUUUUUAUUACUUUUUAUUAGCUUUUCUAGAUGUUCUUCCAUAAAAUUUCCCUGCAGACAUAGUCAAAUACAAAUAUCUUGUCUCCCUCCCCCUUAUUAGUACAAUUGAGGAGCACAUUGUAUACACUCUCAGUACCUAGAAACCUGUCUUUUCUAUUGAUAGAAUGAAUGCACCUUUAUUCUUCUAUUCAGCUGGUGGACAUCCCAUUUCAUUAGUGUAGUUUAACUCAUUUAACUAGUUUCCUAAUGAUAGCUGUAUGGGUUUAUUAUCUUUUGCUAUUACAACUAUGUUGUAAUAAAUAUCCUUGUGCACAUGUCAUUUCUAAUGUACGUAAAUGUCUGAGAAGAAAGUCGUAGAAGUGGGUUUACUAGUUGAAAGAGUGUAUACCUUUUGUAAAUUUGUAACUUUGAUAGCUACACUCAAAUAGCCCUCCAUAGGUGUUGUACUACAUGACUCUUCCACUACAAAUGCAUGAAAGUACUGGUUUCCCCACAAUCUCACCAUCAGAAUCUGCUCUCAAACUCUUGGAUUAUGCCAGUCUAGUAGGUUAGACAUGGUACCUUAAUGAAAUUUUAAUUUGCAUUUUUAUUUUUAUA
Molecule: non-coding RNA, 5284 nt
Organism: Sus scrofa (pig)
Lineage: Eukaryota; Metazoa; Chordata; Mammalia; Artiodactyla; Suidae
Source: RefSeq, a predicted model, not a curated record